This 73-nucleotide transfer RNA is filed under the name Chaetomium globosum CBS 148.51. Its description in RNAcentral is "tRNA-Met (CAT) (tRNA-Met-CAT-10-1, tRNA-Met-CAT-12-1, tRNA-Met-CAT-12-2, tRNA-Met-CAT-14-1)". It matches the Rfam family "tRNA". From Rfam's summary of the family: Transfer RNA (tRNA) molecules are approximately 80 nucleotides in length. Their secondary structure includes four short double-helical elements and three loops (D, anti-codon, and T loops). The record is from RNAcentral. Lineage: Eukaryota; Fungi; Ascomycota; Sordariomycetes; Sordariales; Chaetomiaceae. RNAcentral also lists the same sequence under 5 other names.
GGGAGCUUGGCUCAGUUGGAAGAGCGCAGGUCUCAUAAUCCUGAGGUCGUGAGUUCGAGCCUCACAGUUCCCA